GGAGGUGUCGCCUAGAGGUCGGGCAGCAGGUUGCUAACCUGCGACUCGCAAGAGUCUCGUGGGUUCGAAUCCCACCACCUCCG
Molecule: transfer RNA, 83 nt
Filed under: Candidatus Woesebacteria bacterium
Lineage: Bacteria; Candidatus Woeseibacteriota
Description: tRNA-Ser
Rfam family: tRNA
About the family: Transfer RNA (tRNA) molecules are approximately 80 nucleotides in length. Their secondary structure includes four short double-helical elements and three loops (D, anti-codon, and T loops). Further hydrogen bonds mediate the characteristic L-shaped molecular structure. tRNAs have two regions of fundamental functional importance: the anti-codon, which is responsible for specific mRNA codon recognition, and the 3' end, to which the tRNAs corresponding amino acid is attached (by aminoacyl-tRNA synthetases). tRNAs cope with the degeneracy of the genetic code in two manners: having more than one tRNA (with a specific anti-codon) for a particular amino acid; and 'wobble' base-pairing, i.e. permitting non-standard base-pairing at the 3rd anti-codon position.
Source: RNAcentral